RNAcentral lists this unclassified non-coding RNA (310 nucleotides) under plant metagenome. RNAcentral describes it as "partial contains 5.8S ribosomal RNA, internal transcribed spacer 2, and large subunit ribosomal RNA". The stretch from base 1 to 105 matches the Rfam family "5.8S ribosomal RNA", at positions 50 to 154 of the family's 154-position model. The record is from RNAcentral.
GAAAUGCGAUAAGUAGUGUGAAUUGCAGAAUUCAGUGAAUCAUCGAAUCUUUGAACGCACAUUGCGCCCCUUGGUAUUCCAUGGGGCAUGCCUGUUCGAGCGUCAUUUGUACCCUCAAGCUCUGCUUGGUGUUGGGUGUUUGUCCCCGUCUCCGCGCGUGGACUCGCCCCAAAGUGAUUGGAAGCCGGCGUACUGGUCCCGGAGCGCAGCACAUGUCGCGCAAACGAGUGCCUUGGUACGGCGGCGUCCAUAAGCCCCUCUCUCACGCUCUUGACCUCGGAUCAGGUAGGGAUACCCGCUGAACUUAAGC